CCCCUUGGAGAAGGGGAGCUCAUCUCCUUCAUCAUCACCGGGCUUGACAUGGAUUAUCAACCUAUCAUCUCCACGCUAGACAUCCGCACCGAGC
Triticum aestivum (bread wheat) is the source of this 94-nucleotide non-coding RNA. Lineage: Eukaryota; Viridiplantae; Streptophyta; Magnoliopsida; Poales; Poaceae. The record is from Rfam.